CAUAAGCGGGGAAAAGAUCAACAGGAUUGCCUCAGUAACGGCGAGUGAAGCGGCAACAGCUCAAAUUUGAAAGCUGGCCCCCCCGGGGGUCCGCGUUGUAAUUUGUAGAGGAUGAUUCGGCGAGGGCUCCCGCCUAAGUCCCCUGGAACGGGGCGUCAUAGAGGGUGAGAAUCCCGUAUGCGGUGGGCUGCCUUAGCCAUGUGAAUCUCCUUCGACGAGUCGAGUUGUUUGGGAAUGCAGCUCUAAAUGGGAGGUAAAUUUCUUCUAAAGCUAAAUACCGGCCAGAGACCGAUAGCGCACAAGUAGAGUGAUCGAAAGAUGAAAAGCACUUUGGAAAGAGAGUUAAAAAGUACGUGAAAUUGUUGAAAGGGAAGCGCUUGCAGCCAGACUUGUCCGCAGUUGCUCAGCCGGUCUCCUGACCGGCGCACUCUUCUGCGGCCAGGCCAGCAUCAGUUCGGGCGGUCGGAUAAAGGCCCCGGGAACGUAGCUCCUCUCGGGGAGUGUUAUAGCCCGGGGUGGAAUGCGGCCAGCCUGGACUGAGGAUCUCGCUUCGGCUAGGAUGCUGGCGUAAUGGCUGUAAGCGGCCCGUCUUGAAACACGGACCAAGGAGUCUAACAUCUAUGCGAGUGUUUGGGUGUCAAACCCAUGCGCGUAAUGAAAGUGAACGGAGGUGGGAACCCUCGCGGGUGCACCAUCGACCGAUCCUGAUGUCUUCGGAUGGAUUUGAGUAAGAGCAUAGCUGUUGGGACCCGAAAGAUGGUGAACUAUGCCUGAAUAGGGUGAAGCCAGAGGAAACUCUGGUGGAGGCUCGCAGCGGUUCUGACGUGCAAAUCGAUCGUCAAAUUUGGGUAUAGGGGCGAAAGACUAAUCGAACCAUCGACUACUAGGUGGUUAAGAGGUGGCUGAAAGUGCCCACCUAGUCCCCCCGUCCGAGGACGGGGGGGCGACAUCGCCAAAUUGCGGGGACUCCCUUAGAGCCUCUACUACCGCGGCCGGCCGAAAGGCGCGGUGCAGCACCGGGUUAAUUGCCUAGGGUACGGUAAAAAGGUAGAGGAUUGGGAAAUCCGCAGCCAAGCGCCUAAGUCCCGCGGGAUACGGCGAAGGUUCAGAGACUAGAUGGCGGUGGGUCCGGCCCGAGGGCCGGGCCUAAGGUAUAGUCCACCCCCCGCGGAGAC
Molecule: ribosomal RNA, 1175 nt
Filed under: Hercospora tiliae
Lineage: Eukaryota; Fungi; Ascomycota; Sordariomycetes; Diaporthales; Lamproconiaceae
Description: LSU rRNA
Rfam family: Eukaryotic large subunit ribosomal RNA
Source: RNAcentral